AGUUUACAAGACACCAUAGAAAGAACACAGGAGUUGCCCUGUCGGAACAGACCAAUCAUCAUCUAGUCUGGUAUCCUGUCUCUGACAACAGCCAAUUCCAAAUACUUCAGAAGAAGGGGAAGUAAACAGGGGGAAGGAACACCCAUAAGAAUUCCAUUUCUGACCGAUGGUCUCUCCUGAGAGGUCUGAUUUGUGUGGAGAAUGGCCUGGCAGCUUGUAAAAUCCUGGAAUAUAUGGAAUCAUGGUGUUAACAGGAAGCUGUGAAACGUGACACACAAUGAGAGUCUAGGAGGAUACCAUUCAGUGCUCCAUGAUUCUUCACAGAAUCUUUCACAAAAAGAAUGAAGCAAGAUGAUUGCACAGUGAAAUAAAAC
This is a long non-coding RNA of Mauremys reevesii (Reeves's turtle), 374 nucleotides long. RefSeq lists it as uncharacterized. NCBI's taxonomy places the organism in Eukaryota, Metazoa, Chordata, Testudines, Geoemydidae. The transcript is spliced from 3 exons. The record is from RefSeq and is a predicted model, not a curated record.